AGAUUAUUGGGCCUAAAGCAUCCGUAGCUCGCUUUUGUAAGUUUUCGGUUAAAUCCAUGCGCUUAACGUAUGGGCUGCCGGGAAUACUGCAUAACUAGGAAGUGGGAGAGGUAGACGGUACUCGGUAGGAAGGGGUAAAAUCCUUUGAUCUAUUGAUGACCACCUGUGGCGAAGGCGGUCUACCAGAACACGUUCGACGGUGAGGGAUGAAAGCUGGGGGAGCAAACCGGAUUAGAUACCCGGGUAGUCCCAGCUGUAAACUAUGCAAACUCAGUGAUGCAUUGGCUUGUGGCCAAUGCAGUGCUGCAGGGAAGCCGUUAAGUUUGCCGCCUGGGAAGUACGUACGCAAGUAUGAAACUUAAAGGAAUUGGCGGGGGAGCACAA
This 384-nucleotide ribosomal RNA is filed under the name uncultured archaeon. Its description in RNAcentral is "bacterial SSU rRNA". It matches the Rfam family "Archaeal small subunit ribosomal RNA", at positions 497 to 881 of the family's 1478-position model. The record is from RNAcentral.